Molecule: ribosomal RNA, 700 nt
Filed under: uncultured bacterium
Lineage: Bacteria
Description: bacterial SSU rRNA
Rfam family: Bacterial small subunit ribosomal RNA
Source: RNAcentral
UCGCGCGAUCUCGCAAGAGAUAGCGGCAAACGGGUUAGUAACACGUAGGUAAUCUUCCCCAAAGACGGGUAUAGCAUCGUGAAAACGGUGGUAAUCCCCGAUAUGGUGCUGACUACAAAUGUAGAUGGUAUUAAAGGCAGGGACCUUCGGGCCUGCCACUUUGGGAUGAGCCUGCGUCCUAUCAGCUAGUUGGUGAGGUAACGGCCCACCAAGGCUUUUGACGGGUAGCUGGUCUGAGAGGACGAUCAGCAACACUGGGACUGAGACACUGCCCAGACUCCUACGGGAGGCUGCAGUCGAGAAUCUUUAGCAAUGGACGAAAGUCUGACUAUGCGACGCCGCGUGCAGGAUGAAGGUCUUCGGAUUGUAAACUGCUUUUAUCAGGGGAGAAUUCUCUUAAGAUAAUAUCUUAAGAGUUGACGGUACCUGAAGAAUAAGCCACGGCCAACUCCGUGCCAGCAGCCGCGGUAAUACGGAGGUGGCGAGCGUUACUCGGAAUCAUUGGGUGUAAAGGGCAAGUAGGCGGCCAGAUAAGUGAGGGGUGAAACCUUCCGACUCAAUCGGGAAACUGCCUUUCAAACUAUCUGGCUUGAGAUUGGAAGAGGGAAUCGGAAUUAGCGGUGUAAGGGUGAAAUCUGUAGAUAUCGCUAAGAACACCGGCGGCGAAGGCGGGUUCCUGGUCCAACUCUGACGCUGAACU